This 468-nucleotide ribosomal RNA is filed under the name uncultured bacterium. Its description in RNAcentral is "partial 16S ribosomal RNA". It matches the Rfam family "Bacterial small subunit ribosomal RNA", at positions 28 to 507 of the family's 1533-position model. The record is from RNAcentral.
GACGAACGCUGGCGGCGUGCUUAACACAUGCAAGUCGAACGGAAAGGCCCUGCUUUUGUGGGGUGCUCGAGUGGCGAACGGGUGAGUAACACGUGAGUAACCUGCCCUUGACUUUGGGAUAACUUCAGGAAACUGGGGCUAAUACCGGAUAGGAGCUCCUGCUGCAUGGUGGGGGUUGGAAAGUUUCGGCGGUUGGGGAUGGACUCGCGGCUUAUCAGCUUGUUGGUGGGGUAGUGGCUUACCAAGGCUUUGACGGGUAGCCGGCCUGAGAGGGUGACCGGCCACCUUGGGACUGAGAUACGGCCCAGACUCCUACGGGAGGCGGCAGUGGGGAAUAUUGCACAAUGGGCGGAAGCCUGAUGCAGCAACGCCGCGUGCGGGAUGACGGCCUUCGGGUUGUAAACCGCUUUCGCCUGUGACGAGGCGUGAGUGACGGUAAUGGGUAAAGAAGCACCGGCUAACUACGUG